RNAcentral lists this ribosomal RNA (254 nucleotides) under uncultured bacterium. Its description in RNAcentral is "partial 16S ribosomal RNA". It matches the Rfam family "Bacterial small subunit ribosomal RNA", at positions 524 to 776 of the family's 1533-position model. The record is from RNAcentral.
UACAGAGGGGGCAAGCGUUGUUCGGAAUUACUGGGCGUAAAGGGCGCGUAGGCGGCCUCCGCAAGUCGACUGUGAAAUCUCCGGGCUUAACUCGGAAAGGUCAGCCGAUACUGCGGGGCUAGAGUGCAGAAGGGGCAACUGGAAUUCUCGGUGUAGCGGUGAAAUGCGUAGAUAUCGAGAGGAACACCUGCGGCGAAGGCGGGUUGCUGGGCUGACACUGACGCUGAGGCGCGAAAGCUAGGGGAGCGAACGGG